Molecule: ribosomal RNA, 570 nt
Filed under: uncultured eukaryote
Lineage: Eukaryota
Description: SSU rRNA
Rfam family: Eukaryotic small subunit ribosomal RNA
Source: RNAcentral
CUGGUUGAUCCUGCCAGUAGUCAUAUGCUUGUCUCAAAGAUUAAGCCAUGCAUGUCUAAGUACAUACCUUAGCACGGUGAAACCGCGAAUGGCUCAUUAAAUCAGUUAUGGUUCCUUAGAUCGUUCUUUUUACAUGGAUAACUGUGGUAAUUCUAGAGCUAAUACAUGCAAAAAGCUCCGACCGUAUGGGAAGAGCGCUUUUAUUAGACCAAAACCAAUGGGGUCGCAAGAUCCCUUUGUCUGGUGACUCUGGAUAACUUUGUGCUGAUCGCAUGGCCUAGAGCCGGCGACGUAUCUUUCAAGUGUCUGCCCUAUCAACUUUCGAUGGUAAGCGAUUUGCCUACCAUGGUUGUAACGGGUAACGGGGAAUCAGGGUUCGAUUCCGGAGAGGGAGCAUGAGAAAUGGCUACCACAUCUACGGAAGGCAGCAGGCGCGCAAAUUACCCACUCCUAGAACGGGGAGGUAGUGACGAAAAAUAACAAUACCGGACUCAAUGAGGCUCGGUAAUUGAAAUGAGUACAGUUUAAAACCCGUUAACGAGGAUCUAUUGGAGGGAAAGUCUGGUGCCA